Molecule: long non-coding RNA, 507 nt
Filed under: Bos taurus (domestic cattle)
Lineage: Eukaryota; Metazoa; Chordata; Mammalia; Artiodactyla; Bovidae
Description: long non-coding RNA NONBTAT011203
Source: RNAcentral
CCUGGAUAGAUUUCAUAUAUUACUGUUCCUUUAAUGAAUAGUAUUAAGGUAAUUAGAAGACUGAUGACUUAGAAAAUUUAGGUGGUGUAUUUGAAGUUGUUUGAACUCAGUGACACUGCUCACUGUACACUAAAAAGUAGAUUAUCCCUUUUGAAAAAGUAUGAUUUGAAAAGACAAUCACUUAAAAUACAUAGCAUAAUUAUAGUACAUUUAAAAUAGACUGGUUGUAUAUAUUGAAUUACAGAGAGAAAUGCAAUAUAACAAUUAAAUCACUGCAUCUUUUGCUGAAAAGUGUCUAUAAAUAUGAUUUUGAAGUAAAUAUCAUUUAAAUCUUUUAAAAUAAUAUGCUAUUUGGCCAGCUUUUCAUCAUCUGUAUUUUCUGAAGUAGAACAUGCUUACAUAAUUCAGGUAUAGACAUGACAAUACUAAUUAUAUAAAUAUCUAUUAUAAUUGCAUUGAUGAUCAUUCAUAUACCUAAGAGAACUAACAUUUUUUCAAUCCUUGUGA